Molecule: long non-coding RNA, 905 nt
Filed under: Anolis carolinensis (green anole)
Lineage: Eukaryota; Metazoa; Chordata; Lepidosauria; Squamata; Anolidae
Description: lncRNA (ENSACAG00000028895.2)
Source: RNAcentral
CCCCUCUGAAGACAUCGAUGGACUCCGAAGCGGCAACGCUGGCUGACAUCCCCAGCCUGGAGGAUGAGGUGUGGGACCCUCUCCCCAGUACAAGCAGCUCCGUAGGACCCGGCGAAGAUGAAGAUCCUGCCCUGCACCCGAGGAGAUGGUCCUCCCUGGACCCAGAACAGGCAAAACAACACCUGCACCAUCUUUGCCUGCUGGUCUGCAGUUCCUCCUCUGCAGAGGUCACGCAGGCAGUGGAUUACGUGGCCCGAAAACAUCUAAAGAUGGCCACGGACCACUUUCUGGAGUCCGACGGGAGGGCAUGUGGUGAAUUAGUAAGCGCCGUACUCAAUUCACCAUAUUGUUGCCUGGAAGCGGCGCUGGACCUGUUCCUGGCCAAGGUGAAGGAGGGACCUUGGCUGGCCCAGGAGGGCAAGGAACAGGGCAGCCCUACUUUUGAUGCGGCCACGGUAAGGACCUCCCCACCUGCACUCUGUUUUUAGGGGGCUGGGGAAGGAGAACGGGGUCCCCUCUUUCUUGACCUUUCCUUGCAUUUGAGCCUCCUUCUUUCUCUCCGCAGGCAAGAGCGACGCGGGCCAUCGGCGGGAUCGUCAGACACAUCAGGGACAGCACGCGCCUGGAGGGGUGGUUCCUGGAGCUUCUGCUCGCCUUGGUGACCAACUUCAUCGAGGUGACAAGGCCUGGGUUGGAGGCACCCAGCAGGAACCGGAGCAACAGCUACGUUCCUCCAGAGUAAGGAGAGGGUGGGGAGGAAGGGUCUGCGGGACUCCCAGCCCUUUUGGGGGGCUGAAGGGGGACUCAGAUCCUUCACUAGUAAGUAAUCCUUUUUCUUUCUUUCUUUUUCAGAGAACUGGCGAAGAUCAUCAUCGUGCUGGUGAAGAGGGUGGCACCAAAGUCCU